This is a long non-coding RNA of Coregonus clupeaformis (lake whitefish), 1342 nucleotides long. RefSeq lists it as uncharacterized. NCBI's taxonomy places the organism in Eukaryota, Metazoa, Chordata, Actinopteri, Salmoniformes, Salmonidae. The transcript is spliced from 3 exons. The record is from RefSeq and is a predicted model, not a curated record.
UGAUGUUUUGAUAACCGUGUAAUACUCUCUCGGACAAGGUCUCUAUAGGUGACCAGGGGAUUCUCUCUACCACACGCGAACGCCUCUGUGGAGCUCAUAAGUGUAGCCAUACAGCCUAUAUUGCCGGUUUACAGUAUUUGCCGGACGGAUGUGGAAUACAACUGGAGGAAGCCAGCCGUGCCUAACCAGGUGCAGUCAGUGAAGGACCUGUACCCGGCUGAAGACUACAACCCUCUGUCCCGAGAGCCCACAGAGGAGGAUCUUCAGUUGCUAAGGAACCGUCUCCGGGGCAGGUUCAGUGGAAUGGCAUGUCUCCUUGAACCUGAGACAACCUUACCGGCACCAGGUCCAAGGUCAGCUCCACAUCACUGGAAGGGACACCUGCUUCUUCGUUGUGUGGACCACCAAAACCUCCAUCACCAUCCCCAUGCAGCUUGACGACCUCUGACAGACUCAUAUUGCUCCUCCUGUCAGUACCCGUUUUCAGGGAAGCCAAUGGUCCAAAAAUAUUCCACAUAGUUCAUACAGACACACUAGGCUCCCAGAAUAGGUUAUAUUAUAUACAAGUUUUGCUCAAAGCAGCCAACUAAAGUAAUGUAGUUAGCUUUAUCAUGGGCACAGUGGGAAUUUAUAUCUGUGAUGUUCAAAUUAUUUCUUACCCCGUGUCUUACUUGCUGAAGGCCCCAGACAUCUCUGCCUGUACCUGACAUUGUUGAAAAACAAGUGAACAAUUAAUAAAGAUCAUACACAAACAAUAGGCUCUUAGAAUAGGUUAUAUUAUAUACAGGUUUUGCUCAAAGCAGCCAACUAAAGUAAUGUAGUUAACAUAAGUUAAAUCACAAAGGCUUGUCUGAGUGCAUCUCCUCACAGUUUCAUUCAGUAGUACAACACAAUUCACAUAGCAUUUUAUCAUGGGCACAGUGGGAAUUUAUAUCUGUGAUGUUUAAAUGAUGUCUUACCCCCAGAGUGAGAGAGAGAGUACAUUACUUCCAGCAGAUCUCCUUGCUGAGGGUGGCAUUGAUCAUGCACUGCUUCUCGUGGGGCUCGAUGUGCUGUAGUCUCCACAACUGGACGCUCACGCUUGGAUCACACUGGAACAGGAUGUCCAUGCACCGGAUGGUCUGAGGAAUGCACUCUUGUUGGACUGGAAAACAAAGAGACAUUUGGUCAGUGGUGGGUCUUUUUCAAUGAUGUAUCAACAUCUUUAUCUGGACAGAAAACGCAUUGCUUAUCAUAACACAAACACACCUUGGACAAUGUGACAAGUGGUCCCUCAACACCCAUCAUCAUGCCUCAUAGUUUGUUCUUGUUUCCCAAUAAAAUCAAAUUUUAUUUGUCACAU